UAGGGUUUAGAGUUAAGGGGUGGGGUUUAGGAUUUAGGAUUUAGAGUUUAGGGUUUAGGGUUUAGGGUUUAGGGUUUAGAGUUUAGGGGUGGAGUUUAGGGUUUAGGGUUUAGAGUUAAGGGGUGGGUUUUAGGAUUUAGGGUUUAAGUUUUAGGAUUUAGGUUUUAAGGUUUAGGGUUUAGGGUUUAGAUUUUAGGGUUUAGAGUUUAGAGUUUAGAGUUUAGGGUUUAGGGUUUAGGUUUUAGGGUUUAGAGUUGGGGAGUGGGGUUUUGGGAUAAGAUUUCAAAUUUUGAAAAAUAAAAAAAAAUUAAAUUUUUCAAACGAUAAAAUGCUAUUUUGGUCAUUUUAGUUUUUGAUAGCUAUUUUUGUGACAUAAACUUAGAAAUGUGCUAUUUUGGAGAUUUGCCUUUUUAAAAAUUCUAUAAUAUAGUUGACACCAUUAACCGCCAUAACCAUCUCAUUGAAAAACGUUUCAGCUACCGAUUUUAGACCGCGAAUCUCCUCAUCCAAAUCUUCGUUCACCCACCUUAACACGGCGCCUCUGUAACCACCAUGAUUUCAGUGUUAUAAUGAGUUUUGAUCGUCUGCUUGAGAUCACGAAUCUCCUUCACUUUGGCAAGACACUUGUCUUUCUUUUCCAACAACUAACAGUUCAACACAUCCAUUUCUUCAUCGCCGGCAGCCUGGGCCUCAACACUCAUCCAGUCUCUAAAGUAAUAGAGCUGAUACAUGACCUACAACAAGAAGACAAAGGCUUAGACAGAACAUUUGAACUACUAAAAGAAUGGUGACGUUUUAUAAUUACCCUGAAAAGAUCACAAUGGACGCUUUGGACCCCAAAUACCUCCCAACAAAGGGACUUUGUCUUGAGCAAACACUUUGACGUGUAGGUUUGUUAAAACCUUCGAAAAACUAGCAUGAGGACAGGAACUAUCAAGGGAUUGCUUUGCAAACCUGGUGGUAAUCCAUGUAGCAUUCGCCUUCUUCCCUUUAAUGGCAUAAGGUAGUUCUGUCUUCACAACGGUUCUGUGGUUGACCCCUGCCAAACUCCCAAUGAUCAUUACUUCAUCCUCAUAAACUGUUAUGCUAGAAGAUCCAUUCUUGACAUCGCUUGAUAGGCCUUUUUUAGAGCCAAUGCAUUAAUUCUUGUGCUUCCAACAUGUUUCCUGAACAGAUGACACCAUCAGAGAAGUGAGGAGUCAAUGAUAAUUGAGGACCGCUUUUGGCCAUAUUUCUCUUCUUCCAAUUCUUCCUCUUCUUUCCCCCAGACUUGUCUGUUUCUGUCUCUGUGUGCUGAGAUAACCGACAGGUGUCGAUUGACAAUGAAGUGGUAGUGUCGAUCGAUACUGGUAUACCUUUCUCACAUCAUCUUCUAGAACUUAUUUUUCCUCAGAAACAUCUCCAUGCAGAGGAUCGAUCGUCUACUAUCCCAGUGUUUAGAUCUAGAUGCAUACUUAUGUCAGCUGGACUAGGCGAUCCAACUUCAAAAAUAGCGCAGAGAACCUCAACAGUGUCGUUUGACACGGGGUAAACAGUGUCAUUCGACACUUGGAUAUCUACGCUGCCAAUCGCUGCUUGGAGGGUGUCGACUGCCCUCUUAGACUUAUGGAUCGUGCGUGAAUCAGUAGGAUCCUUCUUUGAAGAACCCAAAAAAACUUCUUCCCAUUGCUUCCUGGUACUGAUAUGUAUGUACAUGAAACACAAGAAAAAACAAUUUAUGUAAGUAAACUACACAUAGAAAAAUAACCUAGACUAAAUCAAACAAAUUGAGUCUAAUGGCAAUUCAUGCUCCCCGGAAACGGCGCCAAAUUUGAUAUCACUCAAAUUACCCUAAGGAGUGACUUUUACUCUUUCAAAUAAGAAGUUUAUUUGUAGUACUUAGGGAUCAAAUCCACAGGGAGCGUGGUCACACAACAGACUGAAGACAGUCACGAUUAAGCUAGGCAAAUAAGUAUUAAAGCAGUAAAUAAAGCCGUAAAUAAGUUGAAGAUUAAAAUAGAUUGAUUGAUGAGUUCUUUGAUGGAAGGAUGGUUGCUAGACUAGGGUUUUAUUCAGGUUAUCAGAACUCAAUCUAUAGAUGGUAAGGGUUGAUCCUAGAACUCAAAUUCAUAUAAGUAAGUAAAUCAGCUCUCGCAUGCGCUUACUAAUCAGAUGUCUAAGUCCUAUGUUCCAGCUGUCGCAUGCGAACAAGGAGCGAGCCUCGAUCGAUGCUAUGGUAAUAGCGUCGAUCGAUGCUUCUUUAGACAAGCAUUAAUGACCUAAUCGAUAUGUUCACUAGGUUAACUAAAUCAGCAUUCGCGUGCGCCAAACAACCUAGCUCAGCAGAAUUAUUAUCAGGUAAGGAACGUACUGUCGUAGUUGUCUAUAAUCCUAAGAUCAGGGUUCAAGUUAGCUACUCUAGAACACAUGUAAUAAGUCCAAUUCAGUGAAGGAUUCAAUUAUCACCCUAGAAAUUCUCUAUCUCAGAAGAACAUCAAAACCCUAGAAAACCUAGAUCUAACAGAUAGAUCUACUCAAACAUGAUAGUUGUCACAAAAAAUCUUAGAUGAAUAGAUAUAAAACUGGAAAUCAAAAUAAAUAUCAAAGCCAAACCUAAAGGGGUUCCAGGAGGACUCGUAAGAAGUUCUUCCUUUCUCUCCUAACCUAAUUAAUAUGAAUAAAAUAAAGCGUAGCCGUCAACAAUGGCUUAGAAAACACAUAAAUAGGAUGGAUUUUAUGUCAUCCAAAGGCUUUCUGGUAAUUUGUGGUCACUUCUGGGCUUAAGACGAUCAUGAAAUAGGCUCGGUCUGUCUUCUGGCAUCACCAUCGAUCGACACCAAGGCUGUAUCAUCGAUCGACAUUCCUUCAUAUCUUCGACCGCUUGCUCUCGCGAGGCAGACAAACAACUCUUCAGUAAAACAGGCAUAACAUCUGCUAUAGGAUUCUGAUUGACCUUAAACUCGUGGCUUUGAAAAACUAACUCAAAGCUAUAUUUUCUAUCAAAAUAUGGGCUAAAUCCAAUUGUGGGAAGCUCUCCAUCCAUAGUUAAACUUCUGGCACAUCUGUGCAGUUCUGCACCCCAAGAGGCCCUAGAAUCACCAAAGUUCUCUAAAACGUACCUGAACUUGAAAACACUCUAAAACAUACUCCAAAAUCAUAUAAUAGACUCUAAAAAAAUCAUAUACCCAUGGCAUAAAAGUGUUAAAAUCCAUGGUAUAUCAGUAGAAUUUCUAGUUUGGGAUAUAUCUUAUCAAGUUUCUCGUCUCAGUGGUAUCAGAGCAUAUAAAUCUUUUAGGACCGAGCAAUGGACACCAGAAAAACCACCAUGAUGAUCGAGAUGAACAAACAAAUAGAGGAUCUUCGUCCAUCACAAACACAGCAAACCGAAGUAAUUCAAAAAGAAUUAAGAGGAAAAAUCGAUGAGCUUAAAGCGAUGAUGGAAAAAUAUUUUGCUAAUACUCCACCACCUACCAUGCAACAUGAAGGAUCUUCCGGUCUAACGUCUGCAGAAAAAUCUAAUGAACUAGACCCACUAGAUCGCGCCCUUGGAAAGUAGAGUACAGAAAAAACAAGUCAAAUCAAUCUCGAUCAAACCCUAACUACCUCUCCAUAACAGUCUUUCGUAAUGGCUAAGAAAGAUUGUAAUCCCGAUGUUUGAUGGAUAAGUACUUCGAGAAUGGAUUUACCGUUGUGAACAGUUCUUCUCGAUUGAUAGUACACCACCAUAAUUGAAGGUUCGUCUCGCCUCUCUUCAUAUGAUAGGCAAAGCUCUUCAAUGGCAAAACGCCUACAUUGCAAAUCGCUACAACAUAUUCCCGCUAUGGCCAGAAUAUGUCACCGCCAUAUCUGAACGCUUCAGCGAGCUUUAUGACGAACAUCUUUCGGAUUUAAUUAGUCUGAAACAAGAAAAUGAUUCCAUUGACAUCUAUCUGCAAAAGUUCGAUUGCGCUAUGACAAGGCUCACACUUCCUCCGGAACACGCGCUGAGCAUCUUCUUAACCAGCAUGAACCAACACCUCGCCCUCCAUGUUCGACAAUUUAACGUGACUAUUGUCACUACAGCAGCACGAAUUGCUAAACUUCACGAGCUCUCUCUUCAUCAUACUCCUACAAAGCCAUCGCUCUUCUUUCAACCCCUACCAGGAGAAAAAUUCACCGCCUCCAUACAAAACUCAACACGCUACAAACACACCAGCAACACCUAACACAAAACUCCUCCUCCCAAGUACAAAUAAAAAUGCCUCACAUUCAAAGAGAUGCAUGAAAGAAAACGUAAGGGUUUAUGUAUGUUUUGCGAAGAACCAUUCACGCCUUGUCAUUAGAUUAAGCACUGGCGUUCUGAGUUCUUGUUUAUGGAAGCUGAUCAGACAUAAUUUGAUGAAGAAAUCACGCUAGAAGAACAAAUACGAGAAACAACCAUUAGCGAUCAAGAUGUCAAGGUCCCUGUAGAACCUAAAAUCUACACAAAGUAUUUGAUAGUGAUCGGGGUUUGAUCUAGGGAAGACAAAUGAUGUAGGAAACGAUAUCUUUAGAACACAACGAUGUUAAGUAGUUUCCAGCAAGUGAAAAUGGAUUUUAUUGAUGACUAAGAUCGAAUACAAUGAAUUGAACUAGAUCGAGUGAUACAAAUGAGAUCGGUAAAGAAAGAAUCUAAAAGUGGGAAGACAACAAGAUCGAUGUGAAUGUGUCGCUCUCUCUAGGGUUUUCAACGUCUCCUCUUCUGCUUCCAUUUCUCUUCCUUUAUAGUAAGCUGACUUUGAGACCUCUGUGGUAGCUCCACGAUCUCAGCUUCUUGUUGCGCGAUCUCCGUGACCUCGAUGACUCCUUCUCGAGCUUGUAUCCUUGCUAUGGGCUCCGGCCCUUUAAGGCCCAGGCCUUUGAACGCGGCACAUCAUGGUAUUGGCCAAAAUUGGGUCCAACAUUUGUCCCCCAGCCGCUUUUGAUUUGAUCGAAAAGGAAAAGGAGCGGUUGUCUUUUGAUCCGGGUCUUCUCGUUUGAUAACCGAUAUCGCUCGGAUCCAGUUUUAAUGAUCGUUUUCAAAAAAAAACGUUCGUUGGCACGUUUUUUUAUUAUUAUUUUAAUCGGUAACGGUUACUUUAGCCGCCGUUAGGGCAUAGGCUAGGUCAUAAUUGCUUUUCUCGAUAGCAAUGAUAGAGCCGUUAAGGUGGCUUAUAUAUACGUAGAGGAUCUUCUUUUUGCCUCAAUCUCGUUUCUUCUUUCUAGUUUCUUUCCUCUGCUCCAAAACUUUUUGUCGAGCUUAAGAUGUCCUCGUCGUUCAAUUUCCCUCGUCCGACUACCGAGGCUGAUGAUCUCGACAACCUUUACAAGGCGUACGGGGUCGAUCGUGCCGUCAUUCUUGAUUUGGCCGGUACGAAUGAGACUCCCGAAACCGUGAGAGAAAGCUACUACGGAGCCCAUCUUUCCUUCUUUCAUUCUUGCGGUCUUACCUUCCCGAUCCCGGAGCCAAUACUAGAGGUCCUAGCAGAGCUUGGGUUAUCGCUUACCCAGCUUCUCCCGAAUUUUCUUAGGCAUCUUGUCGCCUUCUUGGUUAAGGCCAGGGAGGAGGUUCUUGCUUUUGGUCUUAGUGAGUUUCGUCAGCUCGUUCUGGUGAAGCGGAAUAAGCAGAACCCUGGUACUUUCCUCGUGUCUCCGCGCCCAGGUCGCCACAUCAUCGAGGACAUCCCUUAUCGCGACGAGAAGUGGUGCUAGCAAUUUUUCGUUUUCAAGAUGGAUCGAGCAUCUAUGGGUGACUUUGAUUUCUCCCAGCUUCCCUGGCGUUGGGCUGAGAAUAUCGGUUAGUUUCCUUUUGCCUAUGUGCUGAUGAUUUCUUUGUUUGGGGAGUCAAAGAUUAAAACUUUCAUUUAUUUUCGUUUGAUUUAGUUCCUUCUGGUCUAAUGUCGGAUGAGAUCCGCGAUCUGAUGAGGGCCGUUUAGAGAGGUCGUUCGAACUGGUCUACUUUUGAAUGAACUCGGAUUCAAACUGUCCUCGCCUUGCCGGCGGGGACAAAUAGAGCUCCUUCGGCCGAGGGGUCUGAAGGCGAGACCGAUCAUUCCUAGGAGGUCGUAGUGACUCCUUCUGUUCAGACUCAGUCUUCAGAUCGGCUUCCUAGGGAGCUUGUGAGAAGAUCGUCAUUUUGAACUUCUGGGUUUGCAUCGAGGGGCCGAUUUACCGGAAAAUUUCCCUUGAUCUCGAUUCACGAUUCCGACGAUGAAGAUGUUUCAGGAGAGACUCGACCAUCUGUCUCGUCGAGCCCUGGCUCAGAAGACAAGACCGUGGCGGCGACUCAUAAGCGACGUCGGUCAUCGGAAGGUGACUUGACCGGUCCGUCUCAUCCUAGGUUUGUUUCUGAGGGAGAUGGCUCUUCGUUUGCGGCCCAAAGCGACUUAAUUUCCCUCGCUGGUCGCAUGAGGUCCGCGGGUUGUCGUCUCCCAUCUCUCACUUCCUCAGUCGAGAGGGAAGCCUAUGCCAAGGUUGUUGUGGCGAGCUCUAAGGUUCGUCCCUCGCCUUCGUUCUACUUGAAAAGCUCUUUUGUGGUAUUUGCUCAUUUCCAUUUCUUCUCAGGUGAUGGAAGCUUUUAAUGAGUACGCCGUGAUGAUGGAGGAUCAUGUUGUGGCUUCUCGGAACGAUAAGGAAAUCGAGAGUAUUUGUUCUGAGAUUAAGAGGCUUUCGGAGGAGCUCGAAACCACCAAGCAAGAAGGGAAGAAGGAUGCCAAGAAGAUCGAAGCCUUGACUGAAGACUGGAGGGGAGUUCAUCUGGAGAACGAGACUCUCACGUCCCAGAUGGUUGCUCAAAGUGAAAGAAUUGCGGCGCUCGAGGUCGAGAGAGAUCGGGACAUUCGAUGCGCUUCUCGUAUUGCUCGUCGCGAUAUUGCUGCAAAGUAUCGGGAAGUUCUCCAAUCUUUGAAGGGUAGGUGGGCGAGCAAGAAGAAGGAAGUGUCUGCUGAGAUCCGACUACAAGAAGUGACCGCCAACAUCGAUCUCCUGAACGAGCUUAAGGAUGGGGGCCUAACUGUGGAUGCGGAACUUGCACGUUUAAAGGGAAUGAAAGGAGAUUGCAAGGAUCUUGUCGCCCUAGCCGUCGUGCCGGAUUGGUCGAUCGCCGAGCUCGAUCUUCCUCAAGUCUCAGAUGAUUCUGUGGAUCAAGUCGGGGGGUCGUCUGUCCCCGAUGAUUUCGUUUCUAGUUAUUUUUUUCUGUUAUAAUAUCUUUUGGUUUUUUUACGAUCUUUGAUCGUGAUAUCUAGGUAAUCUUUUAAUGGAUAAUCAUAAUAUUUUGGAAUAUCCUUGUCUCCUUAGCUUUCGAGAUUCUUUUGUUCGGGUUGUUGAGAUAUGGCGAGGUUCUGAUCCCUAUAAAGCUUUGACUUUGUUUUAGGAUUCAUCAUAGUAUCUCAUUUAGUUUUUGUUUUUGUUCACUAAAGGAAUAUGACUUCGAGAAGAUCCAACUCUCGCGAUUUCGAUAGGGUACGAACUCGAACUGGUAGUGCCAAUGCGGAACGUAUUCGAUCCGGAGAUGUGAGUGAUGCGCUCUCAGAAGUUCUUUGUGAGGAGACCCAACUUUCACGGCCUUCAACCCAAGGGGCCAAAGACCCUGAGGGUGAAAAAUCUGUUGCCCGCGUUAAGUCGAGUAGCCCAACGGGUUCGGAGGGGCGUGAUCGUCCUCCGAAGAAGGCUAAAACAAAUGGCUCGGAUAGUCGUCUUGGUCUCUCGGGCAAAGCGGCUGUUCCUAAGCCGUUCCACUGGCAGUUCUCGCAUUCCAAGGAUUGUCCUAUUACGGAAGAUCCAGAUAGUGUUGCUCAUUUGGUGAGACACUUCAAACCUGCUGGAUGUCCGCUUCCCUCUUUGCGUAAUAUGACGGAGCGUGAGGCUUACGUAAAGAUGGCUGUGGCCCAUGCCAUGGUCGUUCCUUUUGAAAUUUGGUCCUUGUCGAAUCUUUGGUUCGUUUUGUCUGAACUGAUUUAUCAUGUUUCAGGCUAUGGAGGCUAACAACGAGUUUGCGGCAACUUUAGAAAAACGCAUGCAAGAUGUUCCGUGUUCUGGCGAACUUUAUGAAAUAAAGAAGGUCGUUCGUGAGCUAAAGCUUGGUCUGAAGAUGGCUCAAGACCGGGAGCGUGCCAAUGCUGCUCAACUGGCUGCCGCUGAAAAUCUGGAGAAUCAGGCUGCUUCGCUCGAAGCUCAUCUGCGAGUUGUGAGUAACGAAAGGAAGUCGGCCCUCGAGCAAGUUUCCUUUUUGGAAGCGAAGGUUGAAUCUUCUGCCAAUAAGUUCUCUGACGACCUUCACCGCGCGACUCGUGAGACCAAAAAGACUAUGGUGGAUAGCUAUCUGGAUGUGCUGGUCUCUCUGAAGGAGAAAUGGGAAAAGUAGAAGGCUGCAACUGAUAUUGAGGCUCGUCUUCGAGAAGUCGUGGCAAAUAUAGAUCUCUUGAAGGAGAUCAUGAGCAACAAUCCCCUAGCUUUGGAUGAGUUGUUGCGGAUUCGAGCGAAGGAGAUCGAGCUUGGGUCCGAGGUCGAUGUGAUGGCGACUUCGGAUUUCUGCGUUGGGAAGCUCGACUUGCCUCAGAUUUCGGAGGAUCUGCCGGAGGAUUUCUUCGAUAAGGUCCCUUCUGCGGCGGAUGACGUGGCAAAGUGCUCGGGUGAUCACUUUGAGGAUGGUGAAUUCAGCAUCGAAGAGUAGCUUUAGGGACUUUCUUUGUUUUUUCCUCUGCCUUUUGUUGCUUUAUUAUUUCUUUUAUUUAAUAAAGAAGGGAUCGUGGGUCCCGAUUUAUUUGUUGCCAUUUUUAUGUUUUAUGCGAGGCCGAUCUUUUGGGGCCAUGUGUCGAUUUUUUGUAGAUACUUCUAUCGACAGUUUCGAUGUAACAAAAAAUUUUGUUAGCUAGUUUUGUCGUGCUUAUUGGCGGAGUUGGUCGCGACCGAGGACUUGAUCAGGUCUUGGUUUUUGGUCAACUAUCGCAGUUAUGCGAUUUUCUGACACGAGAAGUCUGAUGUGUUCGAAUGUCUAAGAACUGUAUUUAUUAAGACGCCGGAUUCUGGCUUCCUCUGAUAGUUUCGAAUCCUUUUGAGGUUGGAAAUUUCAGGCCAUGGUGAUAUGUCGAGGGGACUGCCUUCAUGCUGUAUAGCCAAGGUCUCCCGAGGAUUGCGUUGAAUGGGGCCGGACGGUCUAUCACGAUGAAUUCUACGAUUUUUCUGAUUUCUCCAGCGGUUACCGCGAGCUCGAUCGAUCCGAGAGAAUAGGCGGUCUCUCCUUCGAAGCCGAUGAAGGGAGUUCGCUCUUGCUUUAGGAGUGCUUUAGUGAAUCCCAUUUUUUUAAACGCCUCGUAGAAGAGGACAUCGGCCGAGCUUCCGGUGUCGAUCAUUACUCGGGAUAGUUCGCAGCCACCAACGUCGAUUCGUAUCACAAGAGCCGUCGUCGUGCGGUUUUUUUUCGUUGAAGGUGAUUUCAUGAUCGGGACCUGACAAGGGCUCUCUAAUUCCUACGUUGUUUUCUGCACUCCGUUGGUAUGCUUUCAUUGAGUUGACCGAAUUGCAGAAUUUGGAGCCUCCGUAGAUGAAGUCGAUCCGUUUUUUGCCCUUGUUGUGGGCCGGAAAAUUCCACCUCUUAGUCAGUGCUGGUUGGUAGUGGCUCUGUCCCCUAGACAGAUUGCGAUUGAGAGUCUGCAUUAUGUCUUGUUUUUGAAUCGGUUUCUCCAACAGCUCGCGAGUUUUGGUCAUUUUAUUCUUUCGCUUGAAGUUGGAGAUUUUUACACUAGGAGGUUUUGUGUUUUGGUUGUAUGGAGUGACACAGGGAGGGGGAGUGACUUCGUCGGGAUUUUCCAAUGUGCGGAUUGCUACCGAGAUCUCGAAGCGGAUUUUUCCUUCGGUUUGGCUCUUGAUUUCAUCGGUUGUGUUGCUGUUCUGCCCCCAUGGUGAUUCAUGUUCGAUCUCCCUGCCUCUUUUGUUUGUUAAGGCUUUGGUCUUUCGGUUGGAUAUCAGAGUCACUGGCUCUUCUUCUUCUUCGGCUUCUUCGUUAGUAUUUUUGUUUUGACUGCGAAGUACGGCUCGACAUUCUUCGGUCGAGUGGCCCUUGCGAUCAUGGAAAGUGCAGUAUUUGCUAAGGUCAUAUGUUGAAGACUUUUGCGGCGAAUUAUUUAUUGCGUAGGAAUGUUGCCCUUUGGUGGUUGGUUCUUUAGGAGUAGAAGGUUUUUUGGUUGUGUUGUUCUUGUUCGCACUAUACUGUUCUUUCAAGGCUGCGCCUUCCUCUUCACGAGUGGCGAAAUAAGAGGCUCGGUGUAGGGCGUCGUCCAACGAGAUAUGUGCUCGUACCACCAAUUCUUCCCUGAAUUUGGAUGAGAACUAGACGCCAUUCUUUAACACUGCGAGGGCAACAACUUCGUUCGGAUGUGAGAUCUUGGCUUUAAUUUCUUGGAAUUUGUUUAUGUAUUCUCUUAAUGGCUCGAAAGGCGCUUGUUUGAGAUUCCAGAGAUCUGCUUCGGUAACUCUUGUCUCUAUGAAGACUGAGUAUUGUUUGAGGAACGCAGAUACCAGCUGGGUAAAGUUGUCGAUAGAAUUUUCUUCUAGUCCAGCGAACCACUCUAGGGCGGCUCCAGUGAGGUUCUCGGCGAAGAAACGGCAGUAUCCAGCUUCUUUUUCAUUGUCGGUGAGGUGUGCUCUUGAUAUUGCUAGACGGAAAGCUCGCACAUGGGCUUUUGGGUCUGUGUUCCCGGCGUAUUCGGGGAAUUUCAGUUUCCCAACGUGAUACAGUCUUACGCUGGCGAUUCUGUUUGUGAAUGGGGUCCUUCUCGUUUCCUCGAUGACAAUGUCGAUAUCGGGAGCGGAGCUCGUCGCCAUGUGUACGAUCACAUGUAUCCUUUUGAGCUCGGCGUCGUUCCUUUCGAUAUAAUUCUGGAAGGUUCCAGUUUCGUUCGGGAUUCCCAAGUCUUCCCUUUGGGGGUCGAUAUUGAUGGGACCGCGAAGAUCGUGUCUCCGAUCUUGUUCCGUUGGGUUAUCGAACCCUAUUUGAUUGAAGGUUCUGGUCGCGGACGGAGUUCGAUUCUCGGGGAUAGAAUGGUUUGGUGGUGAGAUUCGUGUUCUUGGCUCCCCCUGCCUCUCCGUCGAUCCGUUCUGGAAUUGGAUCGGAGUGCUUCAUGGGCGUUGGAGUCCAGUGUCGAUUUCGUCCAGUCCAGUGUAGCUUAAGCUUCGGUAGGUCAUGCCCUGCGGUGGGGGUCGUUGAGAAUUUUCUCCCACGUAGCGUCCGGAUCGGGCGCUUGGGAUCUCUGGACUGCCGAACAGUCCAGUGCUUUGGGGGUUGGACGUCGUCCUUAACGGAUCGAGGGGCGUUUGAUUUCUUUCCCGAAUAUUUGCAGCUCGAUGCUCUGUGAGCUCCCUUUCGGCUUGGUCCAGUCUAUUAGCAAUGGUUUGGUUGGCGAUCCUUUGACUAUGAAUCUCGUCGAUUAGAGUUGUCAUCAUUCCUCGGAGUUCGGUCAGUUCUCCUCGGGUUUGGGCUAGAGGAGUCGGUGAGAUCGGUCUGGAUUGGGAUCGGGUUAGGUCGUCAGAGGAUGAUCUAUCUCUGGGGCGGUUCCAAACUCGAGCUCCAGCUCGUUCUGGGAUCGUCGUCUGGUUGAUCGGAAGAGAUCGAUCUUGACUCGAAAUCCCGAUUGGAGGGAUUCGUUGCGUCAGAGCUGUUUUGGUCGCAUCAUUGGCUCCCGUUAACCCAGUUGGGGUUAUUCCAGCUCCCGAGUCAGAUCCGAUAGGAUUGAUGUCGUUGACUCCCGAUGACGUGGUUCCGGUGGUUUGGUUUGGAUCCAUAGUCGCGCUUAGGAAACUUAGAUCGGUUUCUUAGCAAAGAUGUUUUUCGUUUAUCUUCCCCACAGUCGGCGCCAAAAUGUAGAACCUAAAAUCUACACAAAGUAUUUGAUAGUGAUCGGGGUUUGAUCUAGGGAAGACAAAUGAUGUAGGCAACGAUAUCUUUAGAACACAACGAUGUUAAGUAGUUUCCAGUAGGCGAAAAUGGAUUUUAUUGAUGACUAAGAUCGAAUACAAUGAAUUGAACUAGAUCGAGUGAUACAAAUGAGAUCGGUAAAGAAAGAAUCUAAAAGUGGGAAGACAACAAGAUCGAUGUGAAUGUGUCGCUCUCUCUCUAGGGUUUUCAACGUCUCCUCUUCUGUUUCCAUUUCUCUUCCUUUAUAGUAAGCUGACUUUGAGACCUCUGUGGUAGCUCCGCGAUCUCAGCUUCUUGUUGCGCGAUUUCCGCGACCUCGACGACUCCUUCUCGAGCUUGUAUCCUUGCUAUAGGUUCCGGCCCUUUAAGGCCCAUGCCUUUGAUCGCAGCCCAUCAUGGUAUUGGCCAAAAUUGGGUCCAACAGUCCCUACUAUAUCUGUAUACACGUUAAAUGGUUUUCCGAUGUAUAACUGUAUGCGAACAAUGGGUCAAUACAGAAAGCGGAAACUGCACAUAUUAAUCGACCCCUGCAACACAUAUAACUUUCUCUAUCUUCAAAUCGCUAAAAGAUGGGGUUGCUAUCUGACGCCAAUCAAACCAGUGUCAGUUGUUUUAGCAAGUGGCGUCUUGAUUACACAGUAUAAAUGCUGUAAUUUCACAUGAACGAUGCUGGGUUAUGAGUUCAAAACCGAAAUAAGAACACUACCAUUGGGAUGUAGUGAUCUAAUACUGGGUGUGCAUUGGCUCUCCACUUUGGGAGCUAUCUUAUGGGAUUUUCUGAACCUGCGAAUGUAGUUCAAAUUUCAGGGUCUGAAACAUGUCCUCAGGGGAAGAACUCCGAACAGCUCCAAAAACAUCGCCGGAAGCAUUAAAUAAGCAAUUCUUUCAAGAACCGCAAAUUGCACUGCUUCACUCACAGGAGAUCGACAAUACCAUCAUACCUCAACAGCCACCACUGGUUCACAUACCUUAUCUUCCUGCAAAAAUUUCUUCACCAGCUAUCGACCAAAAACACUGAAGAAACAGAAGUUGGACCCUAACCUGCCACACUCAACUGCGAUGCUGCUUCAUUGCCUCUAUAACAUGGUAACUAGCAAAGUACCUGAGCUGAUUCAUGAAAAGAAGAUGGUUAACAGUUAAAAUAAAGAAGUGACAAAGGUUUUGGUACAAUGGAAAGGCUGCCCUCCUCAGCAAGCAACAUGGGAGUUUUAUCAAUAUUUCAUUGCCAAGUUUCCGUAUUUCCAUAUUUCUAUACUUGAAGACAAGUAUGAUUUGAAGGAAAGAGUAUUGUGACAGGAUAAAUCACAUAUCAUAGUUAUCGUUAUCUAAUUAUUAGUUUUCCUUAUGUUGCUUGGCUUUAUCUAUUUUUCUAAUUAAAUAUUCUCUUUGAUUUUACUAUAUAUUUUAGCCUUACAACAAGCCUUAUUCUCAAUCAAUCAAUAAACCUAUUUACCUCAAUCUUACUAAUUUGUCAAUAACCUAGAAAGAGCUCAUUCAAAAGCGACGCUUACGAACUCAGACUUUCGAGAUGAUCCUUCUACUUCAUGAUCAUCUUCUAGGUCUUUGUUUACCCAUUUUUCGAAUCCAUAGUAGAAUUUCUGGUUUUGGAUCUAUCCUAUCAAGUUUCCUGUCCAUAUUGACAAUUCCUUACCCGGUUAAAAUAUCCAAAUAUAUUCGUCCUUCCGAUUGGUUCCAUCCUCGAUUUAUCUUUGUUCAAUUAGUGAAAAUCGGUGAAAGAACGAAACGACUUUUUAAACUAUCAACAGAAAAGGAAAGCUGUUUUUUUUUUGGUAAAAUGUUAAUAUUAUACCAUUUUUGAAAUUUUUCACAAUGUUGCAAGCAACUUAUUACACGGAAACAAACAACAACAACGUAACACAAGUCGUAAAUUAAACUCAAGGAGACCGAUAAGAAGUAAAAUACAGUUGAAGGAGCGAAGGGCCGGCUGGAAGUGGCGCUGGAACUGAGAGAAUCCGGUCACGAAGUAACCUGUCGAUCGAAUGCAUGAUGAAGGUCACUCGUAGAGGAAGACACUGAAGUAAAUAUGCGGGCAUUUCUUUCUCUCCAAAUGAUGUAGAUGAUGGAUUGAAAGAGGAGCUUAAGAAGUGUCACUUGUUUGCUGCAUAGGGUACGCCUGGACGCUGCUAUCCAAGCUGCUGCUGCGUGGAGGUCAGCCGGUGGGUUAGGUAGAAUACCAGAAGCAAAACUCAGCCAAAGCUCAGAGGAUACGCUGCACUCAAAGAACAGGUGAUGGUGCGUUUCCACUGCCGAGGAACAGAGCACACACUGAUCUGUGACAUUUAGUCCCCAUCAUCGAAGUCUGUCCUUAGUAGGCAACCGUCGUAGGAGAGCCAACCAAGCCAUGAAAGUGUUCCUAGGAAUGUUUUCCUUGAACCAUAUAAUUUUACUCCAAAACACCACUGGAGCUGAAACCCUUAAGUACUCCCAGGUAGUCUUCGAAGAGAAAGAAGUCCCAAAUGUACCUCCUGCUUUUCGCCAUAGGUAACAGUCAGGACCAUUCGAAGGCAUAGGCAGAUCAAGUGAAGUAAUUUCCAUCUGAAUACUCUGAAUUUCGUUGGACCUGGCUGCAGGAAACCUCCAGGACCCAUCUACUGUUGCAUCCACCACUGAAGCAUUUCCCCUAACUCUUAAGCUGCGAGGCCCGCUUUGACCUGCAACUUCAAAUAGAGGUCCUAGUUCAGUCCAAUGAUCAUACCAGAAGCUAGCAGAUUCGCCAUUACCAACAACACAUCUCAUAAGCUCUGAGACAAUAGGUUUUAACUGCAGCAUUCUCCGAAUCGUGGGAGAGAACCGAGGGGAGUCAGGUGUCUGCCAGUAGCCAUUUCGAUGGAAGAUAAGUUUUCUCAUCCAAGAGACACAAAUUGAAGCUGGUGCGGAGAAGUAAGACCAGACUCUUUUAAGCCGAAAGACUGUCUCAAAAUCUUCCAAAUGCCUUAAGCCAAGCCCUCCCUCUUCUUUUGGCAUACAUAUGUCUGUCCAAGCCACCUGAGCUCCUCUGGCUGAUGUCGUAUCGUUCUUUCAUAGGAAAGCUUCACAAAGAGAAUCAACCUUUUAAAAUGCUUUUGGCAAUACAAAUACUGCACUCCAAAAGUUAACCACCCCGUAAAUUACUGAAGCAACAAGUCUGAUUAUCCCAGCAAAAGAUAAGUAUUUCACAGUCCAAGAAUGCAGCUUUCCUGUUAUCUUAUCAAGGAAAGGCUGAAGUGUGUUAGUCUACCCGGAUUAGAAAGGCAAGCCAAGAUAGCGAGUAGGGAAGAUACCCAGCUUGAAGCCUGAUGUAUCACUUAGCGUAGCAGCCUCAGUAUCAUUGUAACCCCCGAAGAAGAUCUCUGAUUUCGACGGGUUCAUCUCCAGUCCUGACAUAUUCUUAAAUUCCACCAUAACAUUAGAGAUUCCAGCCAAAGAGGAGUGAGACCCAUCCAAGAAGACCAGAAGGUCAUCAGCGAAGAGCAGGUGCGUAACUCUGGGAUCUUCACACUUAGGAUGAAGCUUUAUCUUGCCCUCCACAGCAGCUUUCUCAAGAAUUUUUGAUAAAGCUUCCAUUACCAUAAUAAACAUAUAUGGAGAUAUGCAAUCUCCUUGCCUCAGCCCCUUCUUUCCUUUGAAGAAGCCGGCUAGCUCUCCAUUUAUGGACAUGGAAAAUCUUGGUGAUGUUAUACACUCCUUAACCCAUUCCCGGAAAACAGGUGGAAAGUCUUGUGCCUCCAAAAGUUUCAGCAAGAAAUCCCAGCAUAUCGUAUCAAAUGCUUUCCUAAUAUCAACUUUCAGCAUCGAGCUCUUUGCGCAGGUGGCUUUUUCAUAAUUUCUUAUCAAUUCAGAAGAGAGUAGAACAUUUUCUCCCAGGCUUCUCCCCAUUAAAAACACUGAUUGGUUGGGGCUGAUACAGUGCUGGAGGAUAGGCUUUAGUCGAUUAGCAAUGAUCUUUGCUAUGACUUUAUAAGAAAUGUUGCAGCAGCUUAUCGGUCUAAACUCUCCCAGUUUGCACGCGUCCGGUGCUUUGGAAUAAGAACUAUUGCCGUGUUGUUGAGGUCCUUGAGCAGCUUUCCAUUUCUGAAAAACUCUUGGACGGCAGCGAUGAAAUCAUUCCCAACAAUUGUCCACGAUGAUCUAAGGAACUCAACUGAGUAGCCAUCUGGACCAGGGCUCUUACUAAGGGGCAUAGCAAAGACUGUCUUUGUAAUCUCCUCAUUUGUUACAUCCUUCAUCAACUCCACUUUUUGACCCUCUGAGCAUCUAAAGUCCAUCAUUUCUCUGAGCUGGUCCACUGUUGCAGGUGAACUCAGCAAUUCUGUCUCGCCCAAAAUGUCUGUGAAAUAGUCAACAGCAUGCUCCUUAAUCCCCUCAGCCGUAUUGAUCAUAUGAUCCCCCGAGUCUCUGAAGAAGUGAAUAUGGUUACUGCUGGCUCUUUGGACCACUGAUCUAUGAUAGAAAGUUGUAUCCCUGUCUCCUAAGUGGUGCCACUGAUUCCUGGACUUUUGACGAUGGAAUUUCUGUUCAGCCUUAGCGAGUACUUGUAGCUUUCCUCUUUCCUCAUGCUCCAGUCGCGCAGUCUCAGUAUCAGGAUUGGACAGAAGCUGCCGCUGGAUCAGUGCAACCUGAGAAGCCUGUUCUUUUACCCUCAGGGAGAUGCCACUAUAAUUUCUAGCAUCUAAGCUCCUUAAAGCAGGUUUGAGAAGCUUAAGAGAAUGAGCGAGCUUGAACUGCUGAAAUCCCUGAAUUGUUCCAAAGUUCCAAGCAUUUCUCACUGUCUCCAAGUAUUCCGGAUGAUCUAUUGUGUGAUGAAAAAACUUGAAGGGUUUAGGAGCCCGUCGAGAUUGAGAAGCCAUCCUCACCAAGCAAGGUGUGUGGUCUGAUUGUUCUGGUUCUAGGAACUCACAAUAAGAAUGAGGGAACAUUUGAGCCCAAUUGUGGUUGAUGAGAGCAUGGUCUAUUUUUUUCGCCACCGGAUUUGCAUCCUGAUUGUUCCACCAUGAGUACGUGAGGCCAUUAGCCUGAGCCUCAAACAAUUAUGCUUCCUGCAAUGCCAAAUUGAAGACCUCCAUCCCAGCAGUAUCAACCUCAGUAAUCAGGUGAUGAGAAUGUUAGUUGGAUCGCAAAAUCUGAUUAAAAUCACCUAAUACCGCCCAUGGAUAUCUUGAUGCAGGAGUAUCAGCAUUUAUUAAUACCAGCUCAUUCCACAAUUGCUGCCUCUCCUCAACCUGAUUAAACUCGUAGACAAAGCUAACCGUGAGAGAGAGGUUUUCAGCCAAAAUAAAGAUUCCACACGUAACGACAUGGGGCGAAGCCUGGUAUAUCGUUACUGAUACAUUUGGAUGCCAAACAACAAUAAUCCUUGUUGUAGACUGGUUAUCCGAGUUCGCAAAAUACUUCCAUCCAGCUGGAAGAACUCUUGAGAUCCGACUUGUGUGAUUGUGUUGUAUUUUUGUUUCUAGUUACGCUCCAAAAAGGGGUUUAUAUUUUCCUAUCCAGUUCUUGACUGAACUGUGGCGUGUAUCGCUGUUCAGACCUCUAGCAUUCCACGCAAAAAACAUGAUUCCAAAAAAAUUUAGGCUUUGGUAGCCUUGCGGCUACCCUUCCAGUUUGAGACCAAGAAGAACGGAUCGUUUGAUGCUGCCCUAUCAGAGUCCGAGGCAGUACCAUCAUCUACAUCAUAAACAUGAACUGUAGAGAAUCCCAAGUUCAUGUCCAAAGAGACCACCUGCUUUGGUGGACCUUCCUUUAGGCAGGUCUUAUCGCUUGCAUUUCCUUCAGAUGGUUCCUCGAGUUCUGCAUUAACAACCAAUUGGAGAUCAUCUGAUGAAUCCUUCUGCGCCAUCAUAGACUCACUUGUGCCAGUGCCAAGAGACUCUUGUGCCUCACUCGGUGGAUCACGCUGUGGGCUAGCAGGCUCUGUGUUUGCAUCUCAUGCAUCGUCUCUGCUCCUGCUAUGGUCACGCCUCCUUGCCCGAGCAGAUCUUCCAGGCCUAGAGCGCUUCUUACCCUUAGACUCACGGCUCAAGGAACGAGCUGCAGAUGGCACAUUUCUAUGUGUAGCAGGUGGAACAGUGGGCCUCCAUUCAUGGCCUACAACGGGACAGAGCUGGUGUUUGUGACCAAACUUCUUACAGCUGGAGCAUUUAUCUGGCAGCCAAGGGUACGAAACGGAGAUCUCCACUUCCUUCCCAUUGGAAAAACCUGAGACAAUCCUAUCCGGCAAAGCAGCCAGCAGAUUAACUUUAACCCAUACUUUAGCAACUUCAAACUAUUAUUUUCUCUCGGUUUCUGGUGCUAGCGAAACAGGUUUGCCAACCGCAGUGGCAAUCCUACUCAGACUUUGGUUGUUGAAUAGAAGGUAAGGAACACCCCUCAGUUAAACCGGCACCACUGCUGAUGUUAGUUGAGGCUGCUCCGGCGUGAACUCCGGUGACCAGGCUGCGACAAACAUUGGGCAUCCCUUAAUCAUCCAGACCUGACGGCUCAGCAGCGCAUCUCUCGUUCUCUCAUUUGUGACUUUCAAUAAGAAUGUUCCUUCUCCAAUCUUGUGCACAAAGAUUAUAGGACCUGCACGUGCCCAAAUCGCAUUUACGACACCAAUAAUUCUUCCCAUAGGUGGAACUUCUCCUGGAAAUCGAGCAAACACAAAUUCCUUGAAUUCCUCCUUUGCAGAAUCAAUAUUUUCAUCAGGUAUCAUCACAAAUGGGGGCCCUGACACAUGAGUAGUUGGAGUUCCCAGUUCCUGAAGCAUACAUGAUUUUUGAAUCCUUGCAAACAGCGAUGGCUCUGCAUUUCCCGAUAGAGGAGAAACAACGACAUGGCCUUCAGCCAUGCUCAAGUACUCAAAUGGAGGAUCUGGAAUAGUUUCCGCACUGGAGGAUGAACCUUCAACAGUGCACGAGGUAACAUUCUUCAAGCUCUGGCUUUCACCCAAUGAAUCGAGCUCACCAACAUGAUUAGAAGAUGGCUGCUCUCCAUGAACAUCUCCUGCAGAAGAACGCUCAGUGGUUACGGGAAGAGAAGCUGGUUUAGAAGAGGCGGCAGAAGCCCCUUUAAAGUGCCCUAGCUUAGAGGAGGCCACAAAUUUCAAGGCACCAGGCUUUUUGCGCUUCCCCAUCGCCGAGGAGAAGAAAUUUUACAGGUAAGAAGAGGGGAGACAAAGAGUUCUCGACGGUGGCGUGGUGCCGGAGCCGUCGGCGCGAGUAGGAGGAGGAAAACCCUAAUCGCCUUUUCAAUUGCCAGGAAGAGAGAGAAAAGUUAGUGUAAAUUGUUGGCCGAUCGCUCUGACCAAAUUUUUUUGUGUUAAAAGGUUAUGAUAAACCUUUAGUAGUUUUGAUAAACCUUUAGUAAGAUCUUAGCUUUUAUACCAUAUUUUAAGUUAUAUCGAACUGACUCGAUGUUAUUCAUUCACAACGUCUUUUUUCUUUAUUGGAACCUAAUGCAUCAUUAGGAAAUGAAAUACUUUUCUGAGUGACAAUUGUUCUCUUCCCAUGUCACUCUUGGUCUUUUAUCUCCUAUAUUUCGUUUUUUUAAUGAAUGUUAAAUUUAUUCACCAAAAAAGCCUUAUUACAACUUGUGCUUCCUUUUUACUUUAAAACUUAUACUCCACUACUCAAAAGAUAAGCAAAAACCUAGUUACAUUCUAGUUAGAAACCAGAAUUGCAUUAACUCCUCCAUACCUUUUGCUCCACUUUUUCGCACUAUACUGAUUAUGUUUCUAAUACCUUUCUCAAUCACUCUUUUUAGAACCGACAGGGGCAUCAUCUUUUCUCCAUGCCUUACCUUGUUCCUUUCUCUCCACAAUGCGUAUAAGACAGCCUGAAAAGCAUAUCUAAUACAUAUCAGACUCUUCUUCUCUCUUGUCCUCUCAGAGAUAAUGCGUAUGAUCCUUGACCAAUCUGUAGUAUAAGAAUUCCUCAACAACCCUUUAGCAAUGAAUUCCCAAACUUGAGCAGACAAGUUGCAUUCAAAAUAUAAGUGGUUUCUCGACUCAGGCGCAUUCUUGCAAAGAACACAGACAUCAUCACUCCCCUGGCUCCAUUUCAUCACUUUAUCCAUAGUCGACAACCUAUCUCUCACUGACAGCCACGCCAUGAAAGCAUAUUUCGGAGUCGCUUGCGGAAACCAAAUGCCUUGAGCCCAAUUACAAAAUGACUUUUUUCUCUCAACUGAUCCCAAGUUUUCUGAGUAGAGAACUCCUUCCUAUACUCCGAGUCUCUUUUCCAAAGAUAAGUAUCAGUAUUGCAUGCAUUCAGAUUAUUCUCAAUGAUACGUAGCUCCUCCUCAAUCUCAUUAAGCAUUCCUACACGGUGUCUUCUUCUUCAAACACUUAACACUGCCUCCUCCACUGUAGCAUUCUUUUUCACUCUCAUAUCAAUGAUCCCCCUAACACCCAACAAAUCAGAGAGAACCCCUUUCCCAGACCAAUUAUCAAACCAAAAAGAGGUGUAUCUUCCAUUACCCACUUCAAACUUCAAGAACAGCUUAGCCACACUUCUCAACUUCAACAUCUUAUGCCACAUCCAAGAACCCAAUUGCAUCUUUGAGUUAACUUCCCAAAAGCUUUGCCCUUUCAGCAAGUUAGCUCGGAUCCAUUUCCCCCAAAGAGACUCUCCAGUUAACAUUCUCCAUAUCAGUUUGAGACCAUAAACCUUAUUGACUUCUCUCAGAUUUCUAAUCCCCAAACCCCCUUCACUCUUAGUGCAGCAGAUAUCUUUCCAAGCAACCUUUGCAUUUGAAGAUUUAAGAGAUGGCCCCGUCCAUAAGAAAGCUGAGCAUAUUUGUUCCACUUCCUUUAUACAACUGCACGGUAACCGGAACACUGUCGCCCAAAAGUUGACUACACUAAUGAGAACAGAGUUUAUUAACUGAAUGACAAGAAUCUACACGUCUAGGAACUUAUUUUGCUUCUUAUCUUUUCCAAAAGAGGGACAUAAUCUUGCUUCUUCAUCACAUGUGUCAUUAGUGGAAGACUUAAGUAAUGAACAGGGAGCUCUCCAACUGCAAACUUAAAAUUGGACAAGAUACUUCUCUUCUCUACAUCCGAAACCCCCGCCAUAUAUAUUGUUGAUUUCUCCACACUGAUGCUCAAUCCAGACCACACCUCAAACUCUUCAAACACAGUUAACGCACCUUGUACAGACUGCUUCAAUCCUUCAACAAACACCAUUAAAUCAUUUGCAAAGCAUAGGUGUGUGAUCGAGAGAGAUUGACAACCCGGGUGAAACUUGAAUUUUCCUUCAGCCACUGCUCUAUCAAUUUUCCUUGAUAAUACAUUCAUACACAAUACGAACAGGUACGGCGAAAGAGAGCAACCCUGACGUAGUCCUCUUGAGCUUUGAAAGUACCCCGCGAGAUAACCAUUGACUUGCACCGAGAACGAAGGACUCGUUAUGCAUAAUUAUAUCCAAUGAAUGAACUUCUUAGGAAAUCCCAAGGCACUCAGACUCUUCAAUACAAACGUCCAUUGAACUCAAUCAAACGCUUUAGAUAUAUCAAUUUUCAUAACACACCUUGGGGCAAUUGUGUCCUUAUGAUAAUCCUUGACGAGUUCUGAAGCUAGAAGAACAUUCUCCAUGAGCAAACAACCUUUAACAAACGCUGACUGGUUUUCUAUUAUGAUCUGAGGAAGCAAUCUCUUUAGGAACGCUCAGUGGUUACGGGAAGAGAAGCUGGUUUAGAAGAGGCGGCAGAAGCCCCUUUAAAGUGCCCUAGCUUAGAGGAGGCCACAAAUUUCAAGGCACCAGGCUUUUUGCGCUUCCCCAUCGCCGAGGAGAAGAAAUUUUACAGGUAAGAAGAGGGGAGACAAAGAGUUCUCGACGGUGGCGUGGUGCCGGAGCCGUCGGCGCGAGUAGGAGGAGGAAAACCCUAAUCGCCUUUUCAAUUGCCAGGAAGAGAGAGAAAAGUUAGUGUAAAUUGUUGGCCGAUCGCUCUGACCAAAUUUUUUUGUGUUAAAAGGUUAUGAUAAACCUUUAGUAGUUUUGAUAAACCUUUAGUAAGAUCUUAGCUUUUAUACCAUAUUUUAAGUUAUAUCGAACUGACUCGAUGUUAUUCAUUCACAACGUCUUUUUUCUUUAUUGGAACCUAAUGCAUCAUUAGGAAAUGAAAUACUUUUCUGAGUGACAAUUGUUCUCUUCCCAUGUCACUCUUGGUCUUUUAUCUCCUAUAUUUCGUUUUUUUAAUGAAUGUUAAAUUUAUUCACCAAAAAAGCCUUAUUACAACUUGUGCUUCCUUUUUACUUUAAAACUUAUACUCCACUACUCAAAAGAUAAGCAAAAACCUAGUUACAUUCUAGUUAGAAACCAGAAUUGCAUUAACUCCUCCAUACCUUUUGCUCCACUUUUUCGCACUAUACUGAUUAUGUUUCUAAUACCUUUCUCAAUCACUCUUUUUAGAACCGACAGGGGCAUCAUCUUUUCUCCAUGCCUUACCUUGUUCCUUUCUCUCCACAAUGCGUAUAAGACAGCCUGAAAAGCAUAUCUAAUACAUAUCAGACUCUUCUUCUCUCUUGUCCUCUCAGAGAUAAUGCGUAUGAUCCUUGACCAAUCUGUAGUAUAAGAAUUCCUCAACAACCCUUUAGCAAUGAAUUCCCAAACUUGAGCAGACAAGUUGCAUUCAAAAUAUAAGUGGUUUCUCGACUCAGGCGCAUUCUUGCAAAGAACACAGACAUCAUCACUCCCCUGGCUCCAUUUCAUCACUUUAUCCAUAGUCGACAACCUAUCUCUCACUGACAGCCACGCCAUGAAAGCAUAUUUCGGAGUCGCUUGCGGAAACCAAAUGCCUUGAGCCCAAUUACAAAAUGACUUUUUUCUCUCAACUGAUCCCAAGUUUUCUGAGUAGAGAACUCCUUCCUAUACUCCGAGUCUCUUUUCCAAAGAUAAGUAUCAGUAUUGCAUGCAUUCAGAUUAUUCUCAAUGAUACGUAGCUCCUCCUCAAUCUCAUUAAGCAUUCCUACACGGUGUCUUCUUCUUCAAACACUUAACACUGCCUCCUCCACUGUAGCAUUCUUUUUCACUCUCAUAUCAAUGAUCCCCCUAACACCCAACAAAUCAGAGAGAACCCCUUUCCCAGACCAAUUAUCAAACCAAAAAGAGGUGUAUCUUCCAUUACCCACUUCAAACUUCAAGAACAGCUUAGCCACACUUCUCAACUUCAACAUCUUAUGCCACAUCCAAGAACCCAAUUGCAUCUUUGAGUUAACUUCCCAAAAGCUUUGCCCUUUCAGCAAGUUAGCUCGGAUCCAUUUCCCCCAAAGAGACUCUCCAGUUAACAUUCUCCAUAUCAGUUUGAGACCAUAAACCUUAUUGACUUCUCUCAGAUUUCUGAUCCCCAAACCCCCUUCACUCUUAGUGCAGCAGAUAUCUUUCCAAGCAACCUUUGCAUUUGAAGAUUUAAGAGAUGGCCCCGUCCAUAAGAAAGCUGAGCAUAUUUGUUCCACUUCCUUUAUACAACUGCACGGUAAACGGAACACUGUCGCCCAAAAGUUGACUACACUAAUGAGAACAGAGUUUAUUAACUGAAUGACAAGAAUCUACACGUCUAGGAACUUAUUUUGCUUCUUAUCUUUUCCAAAAGAGGGACAUAAUCUUGCUUCUUCAUCACAUGUGUCAUUAGUGGAAGACUUAAGUAAUGAACAGGGAGCUCUCCAACUGCAAACUUAAAAUUGGACAAGAUACUUCUCUUCUCUACAUCCGAAACCCCCGCCAUAUAUAUUGUUGAUUUCUCCACACUGAUGCUCAAUCCAGACCACACCUCAAACUCUUCAAACACAGUUAACGCACCUUGUACAGACUGCUUCAAUCCUUCAACAAACACCAUUAAAUCAUUUGCAAAGCAUAGGUGUGUGAUCGAGAGAGAUUGACAACCCGGGUGAAACUUGAAUUUUCCUUCAGCCACUGCUCUAUCAAUUUUCCUUGAUAAUACAUUCAUACACAAUACGAACAGGUACGGCGAAAGAGAGCAACCCUGACGUAGUCCUCUUGAGCUUUGAAAGUACCCCGCGAGAUAACCAUUGACUUGCACCGAGAACGAAGGACUCGUUAUGCAUAAUUAUAUCCAAUGAAUGAACUUCUUAGGAAAUCCCAAGGCACUCAGACUCUUCAAUACAAACGUCCAUUGAACUCAAUCAAACGCUUUAGAUAUAUCAAUUUUCAUAACACACCUUGGGGCAAUUGUGUCCUUAUGAUAAUCCUUGACGAGUUCUGAAGCUAGAAGAACAUUCUCCAUGAGCAAACAACCUUUAACAAACGCUGACUGGUUUUCUAUUAUGAUCUGAGGAAGCAAUCUCUUUAGCCUAUUAGCCACAAUUUUAGAGACCACCUUAUAAUGGACGUUGCAGCAUGCAAUCGGCCUGUAGUCUCUCAUCUCUAGAGAGUCCAGCUUCUUUGGGACUAAAGCCAAGAUUGUGGAAUUCACCCCCUUAGGAAGAAAACCAAAUCAAAAUACAGACUGCACCGCGAUAGUAAAAUCUUGAGCUAGUACUGACCAAGUAGUCUUGAAGAACUUAGCAGGAUAACCGUCUGGCCCAGGAGAUUUGUUAUUUGGCAUAGCAAAUAGGACUUUACGCACUUCCUCUGCAGUAACUUCCUCCUCCAAGAGACGACAAUCUUCAUCAGAGCAACUGAAAUCAAGUAAGCUCCGCAACUCCUCCUUGUUAGUGCCUUGGAAAUUCUCAGGAAUACGAUUGAGAAAUUCUGAGAAAAAACUCUCUGCCUCCUGCUUAAUCUCCAGAUGUGAAUUUACUAAGUCCCCAUUCACACAUCUGAUUUCUCGAAUCAUAUUCUGAGCUUCCCUUGAUGUAAUAGCUCUGUGGUAAGUCUUAUUGUUUUGGUCUCCAAUAUCCAGCCAAUGAAGCUUUGCUUUCUGCUUCAAAAAAUCCUCCUCUAAACUAGCUACAUGUAGCCAUCUUCCAUAAGCUUCAGCUUCAUCUUGGAUUGCUUCCUCGCUCGGGUUUGCUAGAGUAAAAUUAUGCUUUAUGCAGAGAGAAUCGAAAGCUUCUUUUGCUCUUUUUGAAAUAUUCCCCAUCUUUUCCCUGCCCAUCUCUCUAAUUAACAGCUUCAAGUUCUUCAGUUUUUUCGAAAACCUGAACAUAGCUGAGGUGGAGUGAAAUAAACUCUCUGUUGCAUCCCAGUAAUCUUUCACCAUAGGCAGAAACGAGGGUAGACUCCCCAAAGCAUUUACAUACUUAAAAGGUCUUUUGAUUCUCACACGAGGAGGAAACGACUGCACUUUGCACCUCAUGUGAUCAGAACAACCACCAGAUUCAAAAACUGAAUAAGCAUUGCUAAAUCUGAGAAGAGCUUCUUCAUUGAGCAGUACUCUAUCUAACUUGUUGCAGAUAAUGCCUUCCUCCCUCUUAUUACACCAAGUAUACCUAGGCCCCUGAUAAGCCAUAUCUGCGAGACGACAUCGAAGUACCAGUGCCUUAAAAUCCCUCAUACCACUAGACAUUCUUCCACCAUUAUCAAAACUCGAACUCUCAUCACCUUCCAGUAUCUCAUUAAAAUCUCCUAAAACCAUCCAAGCUUUAUUUUUGAAACUCGGAGAUUCAUGUUGAUGAAUCAGAUCCUCCCAUAACACUUUCCUCUCUUCCACCUGAUUACUAGCAUAGAUACUCAUACAAAAAAAACCCUCCUCAUCUUCCAUCUCCACUCUUACAGUCACCAAUUGAUCCGUCUUAUACACUGGUGUUAUUCGAACUGAAUCUCUCCAUAAAAACCAUAUUAUGCCUCCUCUACUAUCUUCAUAGUUAGUAAUAGAAGACCAAUCCCUGAACACAUUAUUUAAAAUCUUCCCUGCCUUUCUCUCCUUCACUCUUGUUUCCAAAAUACAACCAAACUUGAUCUCUCUAUUAUUUAUCCACUCUGCUACCACGGAAUGCUUCAACACUUAAAACAGAGAACUUUGAUGCCGAGAUAACAGCAACUACCUCCCUGCUUGGUGUUUUUGAUGUAGUUCUUCCCACUUUAUCUGGUGACACCAAAGCCCAGACAUUAUCCUUAGCCGACUCGCUGCCUUGACCAUCCGCAGCCUCCUUUUGUUUUGACACCUCACUGCUCUUUGUCACAUACAUACCAACUUCCCGAGUAUGAUUCUCAAUACUAUGAUCAGCCCCUCCUUUAUUACGAUCCCCUCCGGAAUUACUGCCAACAAUUGUUUUCCCAUACACACCAUUUCCUUCAUUCAACCCCCCUUGUUUCUUCUCUUUCUUCUUCAUUACACAGACCUUAUCAUUGUGACCCCAUUUCUCACAGAUAUUACAUCUAGAUAAGGAUAGCAGAACUCAGCAGUAAUCUCUUUCCCAUCAAUUGCAAAAUCAAUCUUUGGUAGCGUUUUUGUAACAUCGACAUUCACAAAAAUCUUUGCCUCCUCAAAGCUUGAACAUGCAAUCGUUUAUGGAUGAAGAUGUACUGGAUAUCCAACCGUACUCGUCAUGAAGCUCAGAGCCUCCCAAGAGAACAUGUGCAGUGGCACCUUCCUCAAGUUAACCCACAUCGGACUAGCUUCUUCCGCCUGCUUUUCCUCUUCCGUCUUAGGAGACCAUUUUUUAACGAUCAUAGGAAUUCCGGCAAUGUUCCACAUCCCUCUUUUAAUAACCUUCUCCCGAGCUUUCUGAUUUUUUAUCUUAAACCUCAUCGUCGUAGCAUUGACAUCAUACACCUCCACUUUAGAUGACAAAUCACCAUAGCUCCAGAUCUUGUUCACCACCAUGUGCACCUUAGCGAUAUGAGGCGCAAUAUCCAGAAACUUUCCUACAAUGAAAUCCUCCCACAACGGAGUAGCAUCGGAGAGAAUCUCAACAGGAAUCACCACUUUGUGCUUACCAUCAAUCGAUUUCACCUCAACUGCGUAUUUCUUUAGGCUUCGUUUAUCCUGCGCCACUUCUACCCAUUUUGAAUCUCUUUAUAUCUGAUCUUCUUUCGAUCUCUUCACUUCUCCCAAUCCCUCAUCCUACUCUCUGGCGAACCAGAUGAGCCCGGCGGUGACGCCAAAAUCAUCAGAAACCCUCGACACGAAUCGCAGUCAGAAUCGCCAAUAAAAUCGCCGUUAGCACAACGCAGCGUUUUUUUUCGGCCUUUCUCAUCCCCUAUAUUUCUCGUUACAAACUUCAGGGCAUACCAACCCUCAAAAUUAUAAGGAGAACGCUGAACGCACACUCCCAAUAAUAACACUGUUUGAGACGUUCGUUCGAUUGUUAUUCAAAUAAUACAAGUUGGUAUCAUACAUAUACAGAGUAAAACGUAGAUAUGUCAUAUCUCACAAUAACAAAAGCACAACUCAAAAAAAAAACUCUUGGUAAGCUAACCACAGAAAUUUUAUAUCCAGCAAAAGGCAAAUGAAAUCCUUAGUAGUUGAUUAUGGUUGACUUGUGUGUUUAGCGGGCACCACAUUAAUCUUCAGGUCUAGUAACAUAAUCACACAGGUUUUAGGUUUCUCAAGGUCUCCAUGGUGCUGGUGGAGGCGGGGGAGUAGGGAACAAUGGAGGAACCGCUGAGAAUAUAGUGUUUUUGUCUAUAGUACCAGAUGCCUCCUCUUCACCCGACAAUGCUACGAGAGCUGCGACCAGACCAGCAUUUCCUGCAAGAGUCGGUUCAGUGUAGUUGUAGUUAGUCCGUACAUCGCGGAAACCAUCGCGCUUGUCAGGACCAGCAACCAUGGCUCCUUCAAUCGUGUUUGGGUUCGGUUUCUUGCUGUCUCUCCAUUUCCAUCCUCCUUUGCAGUUGUAUUUCACUUUGUUUUUGGGAAUCGAAGCUCCUCUGUGAUGCACGUGUUUCGGGUAUUUUGGGCCAAAACCCACGAGAUAGCUCAUUUUGCGAGGGUUUUUACCGAGUAUGUAAUCAAUCUGCAGUAACACAGGUAGGCUGAGUUAAGCUCAAAUCUGAUUUUUACCACGAAAAAUAAAUCAUCAAAUCUAAGAUCUGCAUUAAUGACUACAUCAACUGUGUCUACGAUUUCCUUUACGAUCAAAUCUAAAAUUUUAGUACUCGAAAGUAAUUAUGUAAACCAAUGUGUCAACAACUCGACAAAAGCAGUGUUGAUAAUAGUUUUUCAAGUGAUAAACAUGAUAUUUCCCAUUACUAGUGUAUCAGAGAAUUACAUUUGUAUAGAGAGAGAGAGACGCAAUACCUGAGAUCUCGAAAAAUCUCGUAGGACACUGGUUGAAUAGAAAUUAGGUCCACAGUACCAUCCAGGAGUAUCAGCAGCAUCCAGAUAAUCGCUGUACAACGUAGCUAAGAAAGCUGCAUUUGCAGCAUACUGGAGGGGCUGUGGAUCUCCAUGAUUCAACUCUAUCAAACCUCCUGCACAUAUAACCAGAAAAUUUACAUUUGUUUAAUAUCCAGAUCAAGAACUGGUUCAACAUUCAAAGCUGCCUUAAAGCCAAAGACUAGCAUAUACAUAUAUAUAUAUAACUCACCCCUGGUUCUGUUAAAUUUGUUGAAAUACGGCAAGUAUGAGCACAUGACUAUGCUUGUCUGAUUAUGGAAUGUUCUUAGAAUUUCUUCAUAUGGGUAUCCAGGACUCAAAAACAACCUUAACCGGCUCAGCAGCAACUGAAAAGUACAGGGUGUUUACAAGCGCUAAAGAGGAGAUCAACAACAUAACGGAAACAUAAACACAAUAAGUUGAUUUGUGGGCUGACCUGAGCACCAGCAAGCUUGUUGUCCCAGCUAAAUACACCAUAGUAAGGCCCACCCCAGAAGGCACCCGCAUGCUUAGCCAUAGUUGGCUUUGUGAUUAGAUCGAGAUAAGUUACGUUUCCUGUGGCAUAGUAUAACCAAGCACCACCCCAAAUAAACUCAUCCCAAUACAUGCUUGAAUUGUAAAACUUGGCCGACUCCGCAGUGCCUGCACUGUAUCUGCCUCUCCGAGUUCUUCCAAACUGAUACACAGUCUUAGCACCAUGUACGAGCUUCUUAGAAUACUCUCUGUUGUCUUUGAACACAAUGGAUGCUGAAGCGAGAGCAGCUGCCAUCUCUGCAGCGAGAUCCGAACAUCCACCAUUACAGGUAGUCACAGGCCUUUUGUAGUCCAUGUCUUCAGGUCGCAUCCAGCAGUAAUGGUCAUUAGGAUCCGUACUUCCGUCGUCAGUGUUUCCAGCUCCGACCUUAGAGUUUAAAUAAGGAAACAAAACAAAACAACUCAAAAGAAAGCUAAAGAUAUUAUCCUAGCCUAGGAAAGGAAGUUUUACCUGUGAAACAAGAUCAUCGAUGGAAUCAGCAGUACUGUUAAAGGUCUUGAGAAAGUAAUCAGUUCCCCAUUUAAUGAGCUCCCUAACAUGGGCAAGCUCUCCUGCAGCUUCGUAUUUAGCACUGUAUUCAAUGACACUCCAGCUCAACAUGGUCAUAGCAUAAGCCAUGGGGAAAUUGAACUUGAUAGUAUCUCCAGCAUCGUAAUAGCCUCCAACCAAAUCUUUAUAGAAGCUUCCUGAAUCACCUUUCCCAUCUUGAAGACCAGAACUACCUCUCCAUGACACGUUAUUGUGCCUCGGCAACUUUCCAGCUGCAGAUUGAAAAAAUAAUUAAUCAGACUAUCAUUUCCUUAAGAUUUUUACACAUCAGAGCUACUACUAGGACUUACAUUUCUGAGCAUUGAAAAACUUGAGGGCUUUGUGAAGAGCGAUUGUGUAAUUAUCCGGCGCUGGAUUCUUGUGGUGGUGACGCGGCACAGUUUUGAUGAUCAAGGUUAUGAAUCCGGCGAGUAAAGCGGCGGCGACAACUAUACCGACGGUCCAGACGAAGAUCUUGCGGCUGACGAUUAUACAGCCGAGAUCGACGAACUUCUUCUUCUUCUGCUCAGUCGGACCAAGAAGCCAGCUCUGCUGCGUUUCGUCGAGUGGCCGAGAAAGAGCCGCGCGGUCGACAUCAUUCAGAUUCCGGCUACGAUCGUCGUCGGUGGCGGAAUCCGUGGCGUUGAUCUCCAGUGGACCUCCCCAGGGAUCUCGGCCGUACAUGGUUUAGAAGAGAAGAAGAAGAUCAGAUCUAAGAGUGUGAAUGAGGUUUGUUUUUGUACUUUGAGAGGAGGAGGAAAUGUGAGCUAAGCUAGUCAAUAAUAAUGGACUAAUUUGCUUUGUGGUUUCGAUUCUUUUUCUCACUUCCAUUAUUAUUUUAUUAUUAUUAUUUUGGCUGUCGGUUUAUAUCUUCAUCAUGUUACGUUACAGCUGCACUGAACCAUGAUUGAGCUUUCUUGCCAACUCGUAUAAUUUGGUAAUUAAAUUAAAUUUGUGAAAGAUAACUUGAUGACAGGAAAAAGCAAAAUUUGAGUGUUAAUGACAACCAAAGCAUAUUCUAUGUAAUUUAUCAGAAAACUACAUUUCUCAUUUAUGAUUCUCAACUAUAGUUUCCGUUUAAUUAAUUACAUACUAGGAUAAUAACUGCGCAAGCGCAGGGUGAGUUUAUUUCUAUAUAUUAUCGAUAAUUUUUUUUAUAUAUUUGAUCAUUUUAUUUAUAUAAUAUACAAUAUUUUUUGUUGUUAUUAUAUAAUUUCUUUCCGAUAGAUCAAAUCAAUUUUUAUUAAAAAUGAUGGAACAAAACUAUAAUUAAUACAUCAUGGGUUGAUCGGAUUGGACAUUAAACAAAUUAUGACAUAAAAACCUUAUUUUUUCCAUCGAACACAUUUUUGAGAAAAGUAAACAGUGUUGUUUUCACAGUUGAAUUAUUUUGACUUUUAUCUUCCAUAUGGUUUUGAAAGCUUUCAAAUCAACCAUCGAAUUGAUACAUGUCAUUUUAAUGUUUUUAGUCGUAUACUUAAGGAAAACUUACAUUUUUGUAAUUUAAAGUCGUUUUAAAAAAAUUCAAAAUAUAACAUAUAAGAAAAAGUCUAACAUAUAAGAAAAAUAUAACAUAUAAAGUGUCCUCAUUUUUGUAUUUUAAAGUCGUUUUAAGAAAAAAAUAACAUAUAAGACUUCCUCAUUUUUGUAAUUUAAUGUCAUUUUAAAAAAUUCUAAAUAUAACAUAUAAGAAAAAUCUAAUUUUUUUAUUAUAUGGUUAAUGUGAUUUUUAUUUUUUUAAUAAUAUUAAAUUAAACAAAAUGAAGAAAGAUGCGAAAAUUGUUAUCAAAUCUUUAUUAUUCAUAAUCAUUAAUUACCAUAUAUAUGUAAAUCAUAUUAGGCAAUUUCCUAGCUUUUAUUUAGGAAAAAAAUACACACUUCUUAUAUUUUAGGUUAAUAUAAUGUUCUCUAGUGGACAUUAAGCAAAUUAUGACAUAAAAACCUUAUUUUUUUCCUCGAACACAUUCUUGAAAAAGUGAACAGUAUUAUUUUCACAGUUAAAUUAUUUUGACUUUUAUCUUACAUAUGGUUUUGAAAGCUUUCAAAUCAGCCAUCGAACAUAUACAUGUCAUUUUAAUGUGUUUAGUCGUAUACUUAAGAAAAACUUACAUUUUUGUAAUUUAAAGUCGUUUUAAAAAAAUCAAAAUAUAACAUAUAAGAAAAAAUCUAACAUAUAAGAAAAAUAUAACAUAUAAGGUGUCCUCAUUUUUGUAUUUUAAAGUCUUUUUUAAAAAAAAUAUAACAUAUAAGGUUUCCUCAUUUUUUUAAAUUUAAUGUCAUUUUAAAAAAUUCCAAAUAUAACAUAUAAGAAAAAAUCUAAUUUUUUUUAUUAUAUGGUUAAUGUGAUUGUUUAUUUUUUUAAUAAUAUAAAAUUAAACAAAAUGAAGAAGGAUGCAAAAAUUGUUAUCAAAUCUUUAUUAUUCAUAAUCAUUAAUUGUCAUAUAUAUGUAAAUCAUAUUAGGUAAUUCCGUAGCUUUUAUUUAAGGAAAGAAUACACAUUUCUUAUAUUUUAGGUUAAUAUAAUGUUCUCUAGUGUUAUAUAAUUAUGAAAUAAUGUGACACCAUUAGAUUAAACUAUAUUUUAUAUUAGAUGUUCUAGAAUUCUUUGUAAUUGAAUUUAGAAGACAUUUAGAGUGCCACCUAGGAUUUGAGAUUUUUUUUAAUUAAUACAAAAUUAAAGUUUUAAUUUUUCAAAUGCUUCUCAAUUAAUAUAUAGGGGAUACAUAUACAAGUUUAAUAUUCAUCUUGUAAUGUAACGGUUAAACGAGAUGGUGAAAUCAUCAAAAUUCAAAGGUUUUCAAAUAAUAAUCCACAAUAUGUUGUUGUUCUUUUAUGAUUCCCUGUUUUAAAUAUGUCACUGAGUGCAGUAAUCACAUUUGGCAAAUAUCACGUAGUUAAUACUAUUUGUUCCGCCAUUGAACAAAAAUUAAUAUACAUAUUUUAUUCACCGUUUUAAGAAAUAUAUUUAAGUGUAAUAUACUUUGUUUACUAUUACUAACAAAGCAAUUGGCUAAAUGUUGGGUGAACGACAAAGACAUAUCCCCUAACUCUAUACUAUACAUUGUCGGUGGGGUGUAUCAGCAUAUUUUUUUUUUUUUUCAACCAUGUAUCAGCAUAUUUAAUAGUAGUAUUUAUUUUAUCUCAGAGAAUUGUGGUGUUUACCAAGUCAUCAUUUUGGUGGCCGUUUUUUUUUUCAUAUUAAUUUUCCUUGCAGUAGCAACUCUAAUUGAACGCUAAAACAUUAAAUCUGAUGUAAUUUUAUUUCGAAAAAAACCAAAAAUGAUAUUUUCCUACCAAAUUUGGUGUGAUAUUGUUUAUCACAUCAAAUAUUUAUUAUACAUAUUUUAUUAUUUUUCAUUUAAUAAUAUAGUUCAACUAUUAUGAUUAACUAGUUCAAAUUUGUAACUAAACAUAAAUAUAUUAUAUUAAUUAUAUUUUAAAAUUAUUUUUACAUAGUUAAAAUAUUGGAAAAAUUACAUAUUUACCACUUUCAUGCUACCACUUUUCAUUUUUACCACCACUAGAAUGACAUUUUCAAAAAUACAUUCUUCAUUAAGUGUUAAAAAAUUCUUAUGCCUAUAUUCUUUACAUAUAUAAUAAAUAAAUAUUUAAAUAAUUAAAAAUAUAAAAAAAUAAAAAAUAAUUUGUUUUAAUUUUUUUCUGAAUUAUACUAUUUCGAAAUUUAAACCCUAAACCUUAAAACUCAACUCUAAACCCUAAACUAUCAAUCUUAAACUUUUUUUUUUUGAAAUACGAACCCUAAACCCUAAACCAUAAAUCCUAAACACUAUUUUUUUUUAAAUAAACCCUAAACCCUGAAACAUCAACUCUAAACCAUAAACCCCGAAACAUGAACUCUAAACCCUAAACAUUCAACUCUAAACCCUAAAACAUCAACUCUAAACCCUAAAUCCCAAACUUCAACUUUAAACCCUAAACCAUCAGCACUAAACCCUAAACUAUCAACACUAAACCCUAAACCAUAAAAAUUAAACUCUAAACCCUAAACCCUAAAAAAUUAACCCCAACUCUAAACCCUAAACCUUAAACUUUCAACUCUAAACCCUAAACCCUAAACCCUAAAACCCUAGAGUUGAUGUUUUAGGGUUUAGAUUUGAAGAUUUAGGGUUUAGGGUUUACGUUUAGGGUUUAGAGUUGAUGUUUAAGGGUUUAGAUUUGAAGGUUUAGGGUUUAGGGUUUAGGGUUCGAAUUUCAGAAAAAUAUAAGGUUUAGGGUUUAGUGUUUAAGUUUAGGGUUUAGAGUUGAUGUUUUAGGGUUUUGAUUUGAAGGUUUGGGAUUUAGAGUUGAUGUUUCGGGGUUUAGGGUUUAGAGUUGAUGUUUCAUGGUUUAGAGUUUAGAGUUGAUGAUUUAGGGUUUAAAGUUGAUAUUUUAAGUUUAGAUUUAGGGUUUAGGGUUUUUGUUUAGGGUUUAGAGUUGAUGUUUUAGGGUUUAGAUUGUAAGUUUUAGGGUUUAGAGUUCAUGUUUCCGGGUUUAGGAUUUAGAGUUAAUGAUUUAGGGUUUAGAGUUGAUGUUUUAAGUUUAGAUUAGUUAACCAUAUGUUUUUUUUUUGUCAAAGGUAAUCAAAAGAUUAUAAAAGUAUUUUACCCUUCAUUAAAGAUGAGGGUAAAGUCGUUAGUGUAAACAUGAAAAGUGGUAUUUUGAAAAUGGUAUUUUUGCCAAUUUCCCUAAAAUAUUUAUUAUUUUAUUUUAAAGUAAGAAAUCACUCGAUGACUAUUUUCAUUUAUUUUAUAUUGUAAAAGAGUAUCAUAGAACUUUUAUAUUUUAUUUUUAAUAAUAAAAAAAUAAUUAAUAUUUUAUAAAUUAUAUAAAUUAAUAAUAUAAUCCGGAUAAGAUUAAAAUGCAUAUUUUAGUGAAUAGUGUAAUACCAAAUUUAGUGUGAUAUUGUUUAUCACAUCAAAUAUUUAAUAUAUAUAUUUUUUUUAUUUUUCAUUUAAUAAUAUAGUUCAACUAUUAUUAUUAACUAGUUCAAAUUUGUAACUAAACAUAAAUAUAUUAUAUUAAUUAUAUUUUAAAAUUAUUUUUACAUAGUUAAAAUAUUUAUUAUUUUAUUUUCAAGUAAGAAAUCACUCGAUGACUAUUAUCAUUUAUUUUAUAUUGUAAAAGAAUAUCAUAGAACUUUUAUAUUUUAUUUUUAAUAAUAAAAAAAUUAAUUAAUAUUUUAUAAAUUAUAUAAAUUUAUAAUAUAAUCUGGAUAAGAUUGACACUAAAAAAAUAAAAAGUAUAAUAUUGUUAAAACGAAAAAUAUAAAUGUAAAUAAAUUUUAUAAACAUAAAUUACAAAAAAUUAACUAACAUAAUAUUUAAGUGUAAUAAAAUAAUUAUUUAUCAAUAAUAUAUAAUAAAAAUAUAAAAUUAUUAAAACUUAAAGCAUUAAAGAAUAUAUAAUAGAUAAAAUAACUAGGAUAGCACCAAAAAAGUUUUUGUCACAAAUAUAGCUUAUAAGAAUAAAAAUGACCAAAACAACAUUUAAUAUUUUAUCAAAAGAGAUAAAUAUACACUUAUACCCCAAUGGUAAAUUAAUUUAAACAUUAGGGUUUAGAGUUAAGGGGUGGGGUUUCGGAUUUAGGGUUUAUGGUUUAGGAUUUAGGGUUUACGGUUUAGAGUUUAGGGGUGGGGUUUAGGGUUUAGGGUUUAGAGUUAAGGGGUGGGGUUUAGGAUUUAGGGUUUAGGAUUUAGGGUUUAGGGUUUAGGGGUUAGAGUUUAGGGGUGGGUUUAGGGUUUAGGGUUUAGAGUUAAGGGAUGGGGUUUAGGAUUUAGGAUUUAAGGUUUAGAGUUUAGAGUUUAGGAUUUAGAGUUUAGGUUUUAGGGUUUAGAGUUGGAGAGUGGAGUUUUGGGAUAAGAUUUCAAAUUUUGAAAAAUAAAAUAAAAUUAAAUUUUUCAAAAGAUACAAUGCUAUUUUUGGUCAUUUUAGUUUUUGAAAGCUAUUUUUGUGACAUAAACUUAGAAAUGUGCUAUUUUUGAGAUUUGUCCUAUAUAAUAUUACUUUUGGUGUGUAAUAUUUAGUGUUAUGGUUCGAGAAGACAAAAAAAAGUUUGACAUCAAAACACUAAAUUUGAUGUAAUUUCUAACACCAAAUUUGGUGU
RNAcentral lists this long non-coding RNA (35250 nucleotides) under Brassica napus (rape). RNAcentral describes it as "long non-coding RNA (BNAP_LNC025497)". The record is from RNAcentral. Lineage: Eukaryota; Viridiplantae; Streptophyta; Magnoliopsida; Brassicales; Brassicaceae.